RNAcentral lists this ribosomal RNA (466 nucleotides) under uncultured bacterium. RNAcentral describes it as "partial 16S ribosomal RNA". It matches the Rfam family "Bacterial small subunit ribosomal RNA", at positions 28 to 507 of the family's 1533-position model. The record is from RNAcentral.
AAUGAACGCUGGCGGCGUGCUUAACACAUGCAAGUCGAACGGCAAGGCCACAGCUUGCUGUGGUACUCGAGUGGCGGACGGGUGCGUAACACGUGGGCGCUCUGCCCUGUACUUCGGUAUAAGCUUGCGAAGCUGGGUCUAAUCCCGGAUCGCAAUCACAUGUGGGUGUGUGGUUGGAAAGCUUUUGCGGUAUGGGAUGUGAUCGCGGCCUAUCCGCUUGUUGGUGGGGUAGUGGUCUACCAAGGCGUCGACGGCUAGCCGGCCUGAGAGGGAGUACGGCCACAUGGGGACUACGAGAAGGCGCAGUCGCCUACAGGAGGCAGCAGGGGGGAAUAUUGCACAAUGGUAGCGAGCGGGUUACAGCGACCUUGCGGGGGUGAAGACGGCCUUUGGGUAGUAAACUCCAUCCGUCAGGUACGAAGCGAAAGUGACGGUACCUAGAGAAGAAGCACCGGCUAACUACGUG